CCUACGGGAGGCUGCAGUGGGGAAUAUUGGACAAUGGGGGGAACCCUGAUCCAGCCAUGCCGCGUGUGUGAAGAAGGCCCUCGGGUUGUAAAGCACUUUCAGUGAGGAAGAACGCCUGGUGGUUAAUACCCAUCAGGAAAGACAUCACUCACAGAAGAAGCACCGGCUAACUCCGUGCCAGCAGCCGCGGUAAUACGGAGGGUGCGAGCGUUAAUCGGAAUUACUGGGCGUAAAGCGCGCGUAGGUGGCUUGAUAAGCCGGUUGUGAAAGCCCCGGGCUCAACCUGGGAACGGCAUCCGGAACUGUCAAGCUAGAGUGCAGGAGAGGAAGGUAGAAUUCCCGGUGUAGCGGUGAAAUGCGUAGAGAUCGGGAGGAAUACCAGUGGCGAAGGAGGCCUUCUGGACUGACACUGACACUGAGGUGCGAAAGCGUGGGUAGCAAACAGGAUUAGAUACCCGAGUAGUC
Molecule: ribosomal RNA, 465 nt
Filed under: Vreelandella stevensii
Lineage: Bacteria; Pseudomonadati; Pseudomonadota; Gammaproteobacteria; Oceanospirillales; Halomonadaceae
Description: partial 16S ribosomal RNA
Rfam family: Bacterial small subunit ribosomal RNA
Source: RNAcentral